This 472-nucleotide ribosomal RNA is filed under the name uncultured bacterium. RNAcentral describes it as "bacterial SSU rRNA". It matches the Rfam family "Bacterial small subunit ribosomal RNA", at positions 355 to 825 of the family's 1533-position model. The record is from RNAcentral.
UGGGGAAUAUUGGACAAUGGGCGCAAGCCUGAUCCAGCCAUGCCGCGUGCGGGAAGAAGGCCUUCGGGUUGUAAACCGCUUUUGUCAGGGAAGAAACGGUCUGUCUUAAUACUGCGGACUAAUGACGGUACCUGAAGAAUAAGCACCGGCUAACUACGUGCCAGCAGCCGCGGUAAUACGUAGGGUGCAAGCGUUAAUCGGAAUUACUGGGCGUAAAGCGUGCGCAGGCGGCUUUGCAAGACAGAUGUGAAAUCCCCGGGCUCAACCUGGGAACUGCAUUUGUGACUGCAAGGCUGGAGUGCGGCAGAGGGGGAUGGAAUUCCGCGUGUAGCAGUGAAAUGCGUAGAUAUGCGGAGGAACACCGAUGGCGAAGGCAAUCCCCUGGGCCUGCACUGACGCUCAUGCACGAAAGCGUGGGGAGCAAACAGGAUUAGAUACCCUCGUAGUCCCUGAGCGGGCUGGCAAGGCGCAU